UACGUAGGUGGCAAGCGUUAUCCGGAUUUACUGGGUGUAAAGGGCGAGUAGGCGGGAUUGCAAGUCAGAUGUGAAAACUAUGGGCUCAACUGAUAGAGUGCAUUUGAAACUGCAGUUCUUGAGUGAUGGAGAGGCAGGCGGAAUUCCCGGUGUAGCGGUGGAAUGCGUAGAUAUCGGGAGGAACACCAGUGGCGAAGGCGGCCUGCUGGACAUUAACUGACGCUGAGGCGCGAAAGCGUGGGGAGCAAACAGG
Molecule: ribosomal RNA, 253 nt
Filed under: uncultured bacterium
Lineage: Bacteria
Description: partial 16S ribosomal RNA
Rfam family: Bacterial small subunit ribosomal RNA
Source: RNAcentral